RNAcentral lists this ribosomal RNA (468 nucleotides) under uncultured bacterium. Its description in RNAcentral is "partial 16S ribosomal RNA". It matches the Rfam family "Bacterial small subunit ribosomal RNA", at positions 28 to 507 of the family's 1533-position model. The record is from RNAcentral.
GACGAACGCUGGCGGCGUGCUUAACACAUGCAAGUCGAACGGAAAGGCCCUGCUUUUGUGGGGUGCUCGAGUGGCGAACGGGUGAGUAACACGUGAGUAACCUGCCCUUGACUUUGGGAUAACUUCAGGAAACUGGGGCUAAUACCGGAUAGGAGCUCCUGCUGCAUGGUGGGGGUUGGAAAGUUUCGGCGGUUGGGGAUGGACUCGCGGCUUAUCAGCUUGUUGGUGGGGUAGUGGCUUACCAAGGCUUUGACGGGUAGCCGGCCUGAGAGGGUGACCGGCCACAUUGGGACUGAGAUACGGCCCAGACUCCUACGGGAGGCAGCAGUGGGGAAUAUUGCACAAUGGGCGGAGGCCUGAUGCAGCAACGCCGCGUGCGGGAUGACGGCCUUCGGGUUGUAAACCGCUUUCGCCUGUGACGAAGUGUGAGUGACGGUAAUGGGUAAAGAAGCACCGGCUAACUACGUG